UCUCCGUAGGUGAACCUGCGGAGGGAUCAUUACUGAGUGAGGGUCUCCGGGCCCGACCUCCAACCCUUUUGUGAACCACCUCGUUGCUUCGGGGGCGACCCUGCCUUUCGGCGCGGCGCCCCCGGAGGCUCAUCAAACACUGCAUCUUUGCGUCGGAGUAUUAGUAAAUCUAAUCAAAACUUUCAACAACGGAUCUCUUGGUUCUGGCAUCGAUGAAGAACGCAGC
Molecule: unclassified non-coding RNA, 226 nt
Filed under: uncultured fungus
Lineage: Eukaryota; Fungi
Description: sequence contains ITS1, 5.8S rRNA gene
Rfam family: 5.8S ribosomal RNA (bases 178-226)
Source: RNAcentral